Molecule: ribosomal RNA, 433 nt
Filed under: uncultured bacterium
Lineage: Bacteria
Description: partial 16S ribosomal RNA
Rfam family: Bacterial small subunit ribosomal RNA
Source: RNAcentral
AACGAACGCUGGCGGCAUGCCUAACACAUGCAAGUCGAACGAGACCUUCGGGUCUAGUGGCGCACGGGUGCGUAACGCGUGGGAACCUGCCCUUAGGUUCGGAAUAACUCCCCGAAAGGGGUGCUAAUACCGGAUAAUGUCUUCGGACCAAAGAUUUAUCGCCUUUGGAUGGGCCCGCGUUGGAUUAGCUAGUUGGUAGGGUAAAAGCCUACCAAGGCGACGAUCCAUAGCUGGUCUGAGAGGAUGAUCAGCCACACUGGGACUGAGACACGGCCCAGACUCCUACGGGAGGCAGCAGUGGGGAAUAUUGGACAAUGGGCGAAAGCCUGAUCAAGCAAUGCCGCGUGAGUGAUGAAGGCCUUAGGGUUGUAAAGCCCUUUUACCCGGGAUGAUAAUGACAGUACCGGGAGAAUAAGCUCCGGCUAACUACGUG